UACAGAGGUCUCAGGCGUUGUUCGGAUUCAUUGGGCGUAAAGGGUGUGUAGGUGGCGCGCUAAGUCGGGUGUGAAAUUUCGGAGCUUAACUUCGAAACUGCAUUCGAUACUGGCGUGCUUGAGGACUGGAGAGGAGACUGGAAUUUACGGUGUAGCAGUGAAAUGCGUAGAUAUCGUAAGGAAGACCAGUGGCGAAGGCGGGUCUCUGGACAGUUCCUGACACUGAGACACGAAGGCCAGGGGAGCAAACGGG
This 253-nucleotide ribosomal RNA is filed under the name uncultured bacterium. RNAcentral describes it as "partial 16S ribosomal RNA". It matches the Rfam family "Bacterial small subunit ribosomal RNA", at positions 524 to 776 of the family's 1533-position model. The record is from RNAcentral.